Molecule: long non-coding RNA, 210 nt
Filed under: Hordeum vulgare
Lineage: Eukaryota; Viridiplantae; Streptophyta; Magnoliopsida; Poales; Poaceae
Description: long non-coding RNA (HVUL_LNC009814)
Source: RNAcentral
GUGUAAAUUAUCAGGGUUAAUAAACACUUGUAAUAAUACCACAAUACUCCAUCAACCGUGAUGUACUUCUCAUGUACUACUAAUGAAAAUGUAAUCAUACUAAGAAAUUAAUGAGCAAUCAAUAAAAGUGUAAUUAACGUGUGUGAUAUAAGGCACAUGCCUCCAUUAGGCUUCUGUGCGACACCACAUGAAGGGCUUAUAUUGAUAAUA